Molecule: ribosomal RNA, 237 nt
Filed under: uncultured bacterium
Lineage: Bacteria
Description: partial 16S ribosomal RNA
Rfam family: Bacterial small subunit ribosomal RNA
Source: RNAcentral
GAUGAACGCUGGCGGCGUGCCUAAGACAUGCAAGUCGAGUGGGUUUAGGCCCACGGCAAACGGGUGAGUAAUAUCUAGGAGCGUACCCUGAGUUGAGCAUAACCUACCGAAAGGUAGAGCAAUUCUCAAUGUGGCAGCAAUGCUAAAGUCGCAAGACGCUCAGGAAGCGGCCUGGACACCAUCAGCUAGUUGGUAAGGUAAAAGCUUACCAAGGCUUUGACGGUUAGGGGCCCGAGA